Molecule: ribosomal RNA, 1057 nt
Filed under: uncultured Rhizaria
Lineage: Eukaryota
Description: bacterial SSU rRNA
Rfam family: Eukaryotic small subunit ribosomal RNA
Source: RNAcentral
CGGUAAUUCCAGCUCCAAUAGCGUAUACUAACGUUGUUGCAGUUAAAAAGCUCGUAGUUGGAUUUCUGACGGCCUUAGCUCAGCUCGACUCCCUGAGUCGUUGUCUGUCUGAGGUAGUCAACAUUUGGCGUGGUCUAGUGUCGGGCCUUUAUUGGCACGCAUUGGCGAUCGUCUCGUUUACUUUGAGAAAAUUAGAGUGUUCAAAGCAGGCUUCGCCUUGAAUAUGUUAGCAUGGAAUAAUGACAUAGGACUUUGGUUCUAUUUGUUGGUUGUUCGAGAACUAGAGUAAUGAUUGAUAGGGACGGUUGGGGGCAUACGUAUUCCGGGGCGAGAGGUGAAAUUCUUGGACCCCCGGAAGACGAACCGCUGCGAAAGCGUUUGCCUAGGACGUUCUCUUUAAUCAAGAACGAAAGUUGGGGGAUCGAAGACGAUCAGAUACCGUCGUAGUCUCAACUAUAAAUUAUGCCAGCUAGGGAUCGGCGGAUGUUUUUUGAACGACUCCGUCGGCACCUUACGAGAAAUCAAAGCAUUUGGGUUCCGGGGGGAGUAUGGUCGCAAGGCUGAAACUUAAAGGAAUUGACGGAAGGGCACCACCAGGAGUGGAGCCUGUGGCUUAAUUUGACUCAACACGGGAAAACUUACCAGGUCCGGACAUAGUAAGGAUUGACAGAUUGACAGCUCUUUCUUGAUUCUAUGGGUGGCGGUGCAUGUCCGAUUUUAGUGGGUGGAGUGAUUUGUUUGGUUAAUUACGUUAACGAACGAGACCCGCGCAUAUUAAAUAGGCACAGGUCUUCUCGGGUUAUGUGUCUUAUUAGAGGGACCAUCCUGAGUUUAACGGAAGGAAGUUCAGGACAAUAUCAGGUAUGUGAUGACAUUAUAUGUUCUGGACCGCACACGGGCUACACUGGGGGGUACAACGAAUGUCAUUACCUGAGACGAGAGGGCUGGGCAAUCUUCUCAACACCCUCCGUGAAUGGGAUAGACCAUUGCAAUUUUUGGUAUUCAACGAGGAAUUGUAUAGUAGACUCGUGUCAUCAACACGCAUCGAUUACGUCCC